Long non-coding RNA from Oreochromis aureus, 883 nucleotides. The record is from Ensembl. Lineage: Eukaryota; Metazoa; Chordata; Actinopteri; Cichliformes; Cichlidae.
GUUAAAAGAGUCGACAUAGAUGUACAGAUACCAUUGUCAAAAUCUGAAGGGAAAAGUAUAGUUUGGACAGAAAGUAAGAACUUCUGGCAAAUGGCAUGGGAUACUGACACAAAAGGGAGACAUUUGUAUAGGGUACAACACACAAUAGAAGCUAAGAGGAGUAGCGGAUUAAAGAGACAAGAGGAGGUUGUUAUUAGUAGAAUACGAACGGGCCACUGCUUUUUAAAUGGUACUCUUUUUAGGAUAGGUAAACAUCCGACUGGGUUGUGUGAUGGGUGCACUGAUAUGGAGACGGUUGAGCAUGUACUCCUUAGUUGUAGGAAGUAUGCAAGGCACAGGAGGGUGAUGUGGGGUGAAAUGAGUGGUGGAAGGGAACUUACAUUUGAACAAGUGGUUAAUGAGUUAAGUCAUGGUGAAGGGAAAGUGGUGGUUUUUCGUUUUUUGAGAAAUACUGGUCUCAUCAAGAGGAUCUAAGGAUUCAGGAGUGACGGACGAUUAACAGCCAGGAGAUGGCAGUAAUGCAACAGUUUUGGAUGCAAGCUGCCGUUAAACUUGACUGAAGAAGAAGAAGAAGAAGGUGCAUCUGGUGAAGUGAAUGUGCUGAAAGGAUCUCCUUGUUGGCUGUUGGAGUGAAUUCUACAUCAGAAACUCUUCACUGAUUACUCGCCUCUCCAACAGCUCCAUCCACCCCAAAUCACAACCCUGCAGACCCUAACCCUUCGUGGAUAUUGUCUUCAAACAGAUUAGUAGUAGUAGAAAGUGCUGUCAAAGCCUUCUUUUAUCUAAAUUUCUUGGUUCUGAUUUUGCAUUUACUUGUUUUGCUGACCUACCAGGUCUGAGAUUACAUUCUUGAACUUUUAUACAAAAGUUUUAUAAAGACAUC